This 442-nucleotide ribosomal RNA is filed under the name uncultured bacterium. Its description in RNAcentral is "partial 16S ribosomal RNA". It matches the Rfam family "Bacterial small subunit ribosomal RNA", at positions 338 to 795 of the family's 1533-position model. The record is from RNAcentral.
CCUACGGGUGGCUGCAGUGGGGAAUAUUGGGCAAUGGAGGCAACCCUGACCCAGCAACGCCGCGUGAGGGAAGAAGGUUUUCGGAUUGUAAACUUCUUUUCUCAGGGAAGAAUAGAAGACGGUACCAAUAGAAUAAGCCCCGGCUAACUACGUGCCAGCAGCCGCGGUAAUACGUAGGGGGCAAGCGUUGUCCGGAUGUACUGGGUGGAAAGGGCGUGUAGGCGGGUUGAUAGGUCAGAUGUGAAAUCCUGGGGCUUAACCCCAGGACUUCAUUUGAAACUGUUAGGCUUGAGUACUGGAGAGGAAGGCGGAAUUCCUAGUGUAGCGGUGAAAUGCGUAGAUAUUAGGAGGAACACCAGUGGCGAAGGCGGCUUGCUGGACAGCAACUGACGCUGAGGCUCGAAAGCGUGGGGAGCAAACAGGAUUAGAUACCCCAGUAGUC